GAUGAACGCUGGCGGCGUGCCUAAUACAUGCAAGUCGAGCGAACAGACGAGGAGCUUGCUCCUCUGACGUUAGCGGCGGACGGGUGAGUAACACGUGGAUAACCUACCUAUAAGACUGGGAUAAUUUCGGGAAAACGGAGCUAAUACCGGCUCAUAUAUUGAACCGGAUGGUUCAAUAGUGAAAGACGGCUUUGCUGUCACUUUUAGAUGGUUCCGCGCCGCAUUAGCUAGUUGGUAAGGUAACGGCUUACCAAGGCAACGAUGCGUAGCCGACCUGAGAGGGUGAUCGGCCACACUGGAACUGAGACACGGUCCAGACUCCUACGGGAGGCAGCAGUAGGGAAUCUUCCGCAAUGGGCGAAAGCCUGACGGAGCAACGCCGCGUGAGUGAUGAAGGUCUUCGGAUCGUAAAACUCUGUUAUUAGGGAAGAACAAAUGUGUAAGUAACUAUGCACGUCUUGACGGUACCUAAACAGAAAGCCACGGCUAACUACGUG
RNAcentral lists this ribosomal RNA (497 nucleotides) under uncultured bacterium. RNAcentral describes it as "partial 16S ribosomal RNA". It matches the Rfam family "Bacterial small subunit ribosomal RNA", at positions 28 to 507 of the family's 1533-position model. The record is from RNAcentral.